RNAcentral lists this non-coding RNA (31 nucleotides) under Homo sapiens (human). Lineage: Eukaryota; Metazoa; Chordata; Mammalia; Primates; Hominidae. The record is from RNAcentral.
UGUCACUCGUGACGAACCGACUUGGUCCAAC